UGACAGAAGAGAGAGAGCAG
RNAcentral lists this microRNA (20 nucleotides) under Arabidopsis thaliana (thale cress). Its description in RNAcentral is "ath-miR156i". Its record names the gene ath-miR156i. Lineage: Eukaryota; Viridiplantae; Streptophyta; Magnoliopsida; Brassicales; Brassicaceae. The record is from miRBase by way of RNAcentral.